RNAcentral lists this ribosomal RNA (1212 nucleotides) under Bacidia rosella. RNAcentral describes it as "eukaryotic LSU rRNA". It matches the Rfam family "Eukaryotic large subunit ribosomal RNA", at positions 1 to 978 of the family's 3401-position model. Lineage: Eukaryota; Fungi; Ascomycota; Lecanoromycetes; Lecanorales; Ramalinaceae. The record is from RNAcentral.
AAUUGACCUCGGAUCAGGUAGGGAUACCCGCUGAACUUAAGCAUAUCAAUAAGCGGAGGAAAAGAAACCAACAGGGAUUGCCUCAGUAACGGCGAGUGAAGCGGCAACAGCUCAAAUUUGAAAUCUGGCCCUCCCGGGGUCCGAGUUGUAAUUUGUAGAGGAUGCUUCGGGUGCGGCGCCAGCCGAAGUCCCUUGGAACAGGGCGUCACAGAGGGUGAGAAUCCCGUACGUGGCCGGCAACCAACCCCAGGUGAAGCUCCUUCGACGAGUCGAGUUGUUUGGGAAUGCAGCUCAAAAUGGGUGGUAAAUUUCAUCUAAAGCUAAAUACCGGCCAGAGACCGAUAGCGCACAAGUAGAGUGAUCGAAAGAUGAAAAGCACUUUGGAAAGAGAGUUAAACAGUACGUGAAAUUGUUGAAAGGGAAGCGCUUGCGACCAGACCUGCCCGUGGGUGCUCAGCGGGGGUUCUCCCCCGUGCACUCGCCCACGAUCAGGCCAGCAUCGGUUCCGGCGACCGGAUAAAGGCCCGGGAAAUGUGGCUCCCCUCGGGGAGUGUUAUAGCCCCGGGUGUCAUGCGGCCAGCCGGGACCGAGGACCGCGCUUCGGCAAGGAUGCUGGCACAAUGGUCGUAAGCGACCCGUCUUGAAACACGGACCAAGGAGUCUAACAUCUAUGCGAGUGUUUGGGUGUCAAACCCAUGCGCGCAAUGAAAGUGAACGAUGGUCAGAGCCCCCCGGGGUGCAUGAUCGACCGAUCUUGAAGUUUACGGAUGGAUUUGAGUAUGAGCAUAGCUGUUGGGACCCGAAAGAUGGUGAACUAUGCCUGAAUAGGGUGAAGCCAGAGGAAACUCUGGUGGAGGCUCGCAGCGGUUCUGACGUGCAAAUCGAUCGUCAAAUUUGGGUAUAGGGUACGUCUUCUGGGAUCGUAUUGGGGGGGCUCAUUGCUAACAAACUCGCAGGGCGAAAGACUAAUCGAACCAUUGGAGGUUGAGGCUACUAGGUGGUUAAUUGGGGUCUGCGGACCGUCAGCCUCUCGGGGCAACAAUGCUAGAUGCAUGGACAACGGACAUGCAGCGGGCGCCGCGAGGCGUUCGUCCACUGACCAGAUAGCGUUGGCCGGGGCGGCUUUGGCGCCGGUUGUGACAUGGUCGAGUCCCUCCUCCCGGGGAGGGUAUGCACGCUAGUAGCUGGUUCCUGCCGAAGUUUCCCUCAGGA